GCGGGCGUAGCUCAGGUGGUAGAGCAUCAGCUUCCCAAGCUGAGGGUCGCGGGUUCGAGUCCCGUCGCCCGCU
This 73-nucleotide transfer RNA is filed under the name Balnearium lithotrophicum. RNAcentral's name for it is "tRNA_Gly_CCC". It matches the Rfam family "tRNA". Rfam says of the family: Transfer RNA (tRNA) molecules are approximately 80 nucleotides in length. The record is from RNAcentral. RNAcentral also lists the same sequence under 1 other name. Lineage: Bacteria; Pseudomonadati; Aquificota; Aquificia; Desulfurobacteriales; Desulfurobacteriaceae.